ACAAUAAAUAAAAAUCUCAAAAAAAAAUCAAGCAAAGCAAAUAAAUAAACAAUCACGAUAUAAGAAAUUCUAAAUAAAGACGAACACUAUGGAAAGAAACAAAACUAGCCUCUCUCCUGGAUCCACGGAGUACUUACAACCUGGACAUAGCUACAAAUAAGAGCAUCGACAGCAGCGCCUUCUUCUGUCUUCCCCUCCGGGCCACUGAAGACUGGAUGACAGCGACUGAUGACGCCCCUAGAGUUAUCAAAUCAACAAUACAACUAACAAACCAGCUAAAUGUAAUUAUAUUUAAGAAUAGUAAUCCAAAUUAAAUUUAAAGAAUAGUAAUCCAAA
This is a long non-coding RNA of Drosophila mojavensis, 336 nucleotides long. RefSeq lists it as uncharacterized. NCBI's taxonomy places the organism in Eukaryota, Metazoa, Arthropoda, Insecta, Diptera, Drosophilidae. The transcript is spliced from 2 exons. The record is from RefSeq and is a predicted model, not a curated record.